Long non-coding RNA from Melospiza melodia melodia, 317 nucleotides. RefSeq lists it as uncharacterized. The transcript has 3 exons. The record is from RefSeq and is a predicted model, not a curated record. NCBI's taxonomy places the organism in Eukaryota, Metazoa, Chordata, Aves, Passeriformes, Passerellidae.
ACCAAUUCAAAGCAUGGCAAGCCAAAUUCCUGGCUGCUGGCCGUCAGUGAGAUGGAGCUAUCAGCUGGAGACUGGAGAAGAGAGAGAACAUGACGUCUUGCGCAUUGCCUCUCAGGAUUGGUAUGACAUGGCAAAAACACCGGGAGCCACAUAUCAUGUGUGCCCAUUGAAGAAGGGAAAAGGUUCAGUGACUGAACCACUUUGACCCCUGCCACCUUGAACAAAGGCUCCAUCAGCUUCCUGAGCCGUGCUACAACAGCCCGGAGAGGUGGCCAUGAGGAGGUGCCCUCCAGGGAGCUCUCCGAGGCAACCGUGAG